ACGAAAUUGAGUGGUACCAGUGGGACCCUGGAAUAAUGAGAGUGAGACCUCCUGUUUCUCUCUUUUACGUCAACUCUUUACGGCCAAAUAAAGGUUGCGAUUGGCUGAAAAGGAGGGCGGUGUGCGUAUUAAUAUUUUGAUACAUAUGGAACGCGUGUACAUUUUAAAACGUUCCACUGCAAGAAGCUGAAUAACCUAAAGUCUAAUUUCGUCUUAUAUAUGUUCUGUCUACGCCUGCACAUUUGGUUGUGUUGUAACUUCUAACAGCAAAAAACAAUAGAGAAGCUUGGGGAUGCACAUCAGCAAGGACCUCUCCUAGACCACCAACAUCAUAUCACUGGGGUGGGAGCUGCACUGAACACAGCUGGGAAGAUCAUUGGUGUCCCACUUCCCUACAAGACACGUUAACACCCGCCUCACCCGAAAAGCAACAUGAUGUGCGCGACGUCAGCCACCCUGCACACAAUCUCUUCUGCCUCCUGCACUCUGGGAGGAGAUACAGAAGCACCCGCGCCCGCUCCACCAGACUUGCAACCAGCUUCAUUCUCCAAGCCAUCAGGAAGCUGAACUCUCUCCCAUCCAUCCCUCUCUGCCCCCCAAAAAACUAUAGCCUCUGAAGUUGCUGCUGUUUUUAUAACGUCUCUCUGCUCUAUGACAAAUAUCUCUGCAGUUACUUUUUGCACUGUCACAACAGAUGUAGGGCAGAUGCUGCCUGUGACAUCCCUGUGUUUUAUCUCGUUCUGUUUUGUCCUGUGCACUUGUUUAGAGCUAGAGAAUUGUUCUUAUUUAGUAUGCACUUUAUUUUUAGUGAUAAGCAAUGUUAGGUGAUGUCUUAUCUGUUGUGGGAUAGCGAGAAACAUACUUUUAAUUCCUCUGUAUGUCUAGUAUAUGUGGAGAAAUUGACAAUACAUUUGACUUUGACUAUACAGUUAAUGAUAAAUGACACAUUUCUGCAGCAGAAAUAAGCUACAACUACAUGCCCCAUUUUAUAAUCAUUACAUCCUCAGUGCCUCUGAAAAUAGUUUCAUCCUCAAAAAGAAACCACAGUAGGUAAUAAAAAGGAAAGCAAUUAUUGUCAUUGUGCCAGUAUUCAUCUUAAAGUUCAGUGGGAAUUUAAAGUCUGACUUAGUCAUACUAUAGGUAAAAGAACAAAAUGAAUCCUUUUGGUUAAAAUAAAUCUUGUGUUCCUCUAUCUCUCUCUCUCCCCAAGAAACCCCCCAAUAGUAUCGUAGGCCACACAGUGGCAGUGCUGUUCCCCACACAGGUCCAUAA
Molecule: long non-coding RNA, 1272 nt
Organism: Solea senegalensis (Senegalese sole)
Lineage: Eukaryota; Metazoa; Chordata; Actinopteri; Pleuronectiformes; Soleidae
Exons: 2
Source: RefSeq, a predicted model, not a curated record